GGCUCAGGAUAAACGCUGGCGGCGUGCCUAAUACAUGCAAGUCGAUCGCUGGAAUUCCAGCUUGCUGGAAUGAAGGAGAGGCGAACGGGUGAGUAAUACAUAAGCAACCUGCCCACGAAGACUGGGAUAAUCCUGGAAACGGGGACUAAUACCGGAUAGGUAGUGUGAUCGCAUGAUCGCACUAUUAAAGGUUCAAGACACUGGUGGAUGGGCUUAUGGCGCAUUAGCUGGUUGGUGAGGUAACGGCCCACCAAGGCGAUGAUGCGUAGCCGGCCUGAGAGGGUGAACGGCCACAUUGGGACUGAGACACGGCCCAGACUCCUACGGGAGGCAGCAGUAGGGAAUUUUCGGCAAUGGGCGCAAGCCUGACCGAGCAACGCCGCGUGAAGUGAAGACGGCCUUCGGGUUGUAAAGCUCUGUUGUAAGGGAAGAAUUGGCAGGAGAGAAUCGUGCAGUGACGGUACCUUACCAGAAAGCCACGGCUAACUACGUGCCAGCCGCAGC
Molecule: ribosomal RNA, 504 nt
Filed under: uncultured bacterium
Lineage: Bacteria
Description: bacterial SSU rRNA
Rfam family: Bacterial small subunit ribosomal RNA
Source: RNAcentral